Molecule: ribosomal RNA, 88 nt
Filed under: Acidovorax sp. Leaf160
Lineage: Bacteria; Pseudomonadati; Pseudomonadota; Betaproteobacteria; Burkholderiales; Comamonadaceae
Source: RNAcentral
CACUCCUUCCCAUCCCGAACAGGACAGUGAAACGACUUCGCGCCGAUGAUAGUGCGGGUUCCCGUGUGAAAGUAGGUCAUCGUCAGGC